RNAcentral lists this unclassified non-coding RNA (284 nucleotides) under Melitaea cinxia (Glanville fritillary). RNAcentral's name for it is "misc RNA ENSMCXG00005005107.1". The record is from RNAcentral. Lineage: Eukaryota; Metazoa; Arthropoda; Insecta; Lepidoptera; Nymphalidae.
AAAAAAAAAAAACUUGGAUAGUUUUGAUUUAGAAUUGAUUAGAAACAAGAUAAAUGAGUUUUACACUGUACGAAAAGAAAUACCCACUGUUAUGAAAUUGCUACAAAUUCUUCGGGAGGAAAUCAAUUUCAAUGGAGGAAGAGAAUCAUUAAGACUUAUUUUGAAAGACAUUGGAUUCGAAUUCGUGAAGUGCCAAUCAAAAAGGACUAUUUUAAUGGAGCGACAUGACAUAAAGAUACACAGAUUCAAGUAUUUGGAGCGUAUGCAAAAGAAUCGAGAAGCCG